RNAcentral lists this unclassified non-coding RNA (267 nucleotides) under Paraglomus occultum. Its description in RNAcentral is "partial contains 5.8S ribosomal RNA and internal transcribed spacer 2". The stretch from base 1 to 65 matches the Rfam family "5.8S ribosomal RNA", at positions 84 to 154 of the family's 154-position model. The record is from RNAcentral. Lineage: Eukaryota; Fungi; Glomeromycota; Glomeromycetes; Paraglomerales; Paraglomeraceae.
GUGAAUCAUCAAAUUUUUGAACGCAAAUUGCGCCUUUUUCGGAAGGCAUGUCUGUUUGAGGGCACCAUUUAACAAAUAAUGUGCAUUUCGUGUGCACACGUUGAUGAGCUUUCCAAAUUUAUGUAUUUUUUUUGGUGGCCCAUAAAAAACAGCGCGAUGCUUUUUUUCAGUUCGGGUUUAGUAAAAUUUUUUCUUGCUCGGUUUGUGAAAAGCGUGAUCGCCCAAUGGUUUGGGCAUUUUUAGUUAAUCCUUGCCCCACCGCCACUC